UACGUAGGGACCGAGCGUUGUCCGGAAUCAUUGGGCGUAAAGAGCGCGCAGGCGGUCGAUCAAGUCGCGUGUGAAAGCCCCCGGCUCAACUGGGGAGGGUCACGCGAUACUGAUCGACUCGAAGGCAGGAGAGGGUAGUGGAAUUCCCGGUGUAGUGGUGAAAUGCGUAGAUAUCGGGAGGAACACCAGUGGCGAAGGCGACUACCUGGCCUGUUUCUUGACGCUGAGGCGCGAAAGCUAGGGGAGCAAACGGG
This 254-nucleotide ribosomal RNA is filed under the name uncultured bacterium. Its description in RNAcentral is "partial 16S ribosomal RNA". It matches the Rfam family "Bacterial small subunit ribosomal RNA", at positions 524 to 776 of the family's 1533-position model. The record is from RNAcentral.